GAGUUUGAUCAUGGCUCAGGAUGAACGCUGGCGGCGUGCCUAAUACAUGCAAGUCGAGCGAACGGACGAGAAGCUUGCUUCUCUGAUGUUAGCGGCGGACGGGUGAGUAACACGUGGAUAACCUACCUAUAAGACUGGGAUAACUUCGGGAAACCGGAGCUAAUACCGGAUAAUAUUUUGAACCGCAUGGUUCAAAAGUGAAAGACGGUCUUGCUGUCACUUAUAGAUGGAUCCGCGCUGCAUUAGCUAGUUGGUAAGGUAACGGCUUACCAAGGCAACGAUGCAUAGCCGACCUGAGAGGGUGAUCGGCCACACUGGAACUGAGACACGGUCCAGACUCCUACGGGAGGCAGCAGUAGGGAAUCUUCCGCAAUGGGCGAAAGCCUGACGGAGCAACGCCGCGUGAGUGAUGAGGGUCUUCGGAUCGUAAAACUCUGUUAUUAGGGAGAACAUAUGUGUAAGUAACUGUGCACAUCUUGACGGUACCUAAUCAGAAAGCCACGGCUAACUAC
Molecule: ribosomal RNA, 512 nt
Filed under: uncultured microorganism
Description: bacterial SSU rRNA
Rfam family: Bacterial small subunit ribosomal RNA
Source: RNAcentral